GUUCACUCAAAAAGAAAAAAGAAAAAAAGGGUAAGGUUUUGAAACAUUUUGUAUUCGAAGAGUGAUUAGCGGCAACGACUCAUAUGUAGUGGUUGUGCUACAAAUAGCUGCGAAAAUGAGCGCCAGACUCAUGAUUACCAUUGAGGAUCCUUGCCAAUCACUGAAGCUCCCUUUAGCCACUCCCCUGUCAACUAAUCUGCAGAUCAACUUGAUCGCUUGUAAUCGCAUUAUUGGCAACUUCUCUCACAUCACAAUCAUAUGAUUCAAAUAUUUGAGUCUUCCAGGCACGAUUCGAACAGAACUGAUCCAUCGUCUAUUUCUCGAAGAAAUUGAUCUUUCCUGCAAUUACCUUAAUGGCACACUUCCAAGGCAAUGGGCUUCAUGCAGCAUUUGAAUAAAAUCGGCCGUUUAACGAGGGAAAUUCCCACUGAGUGGGGAUCAUUUAACAAUCUCAUCAGUGGCUUGUGCCUUGAUGACGACCAAUUGAAUGGAACCAUCCCUCCAGAGCUUGGCUAUUUGGUCCAAUUAAUUACUUUUUUCAGGAUACUUUCUGCCAAUUGAUUUUCUGGAGACUUUCCUAGGUCACUAGGAAACCUAAAGAACUUGACAGAUUUAAUAAGUGAUCAUAACUUUACUGGCACUAUACCAGAAUUUAUUGGGGGAUGGACUAGUCUCCAAAGGCUGUAAGGACUUCAUCUUUUACAUAUUAUUCUGUUACAGAAUUUAUCUGUAUGGUGGAUCCUGAUUUACAGAUUUAUUGCCCUCCCUUUUGUUUUGUUGAAAUAUUAAAGAGAAAUGCAUUCAUGUGGACUGGAAGGACCUAUCCCGUACUCCAUUUUUGGUCUGGGAAAUUUGAGUGACCUGAGAAUCAGUGAUAUAAACGGGCCAAAGUUCAAAUUUCCAAAUUUGAGCAACAAGAACAUUAAAUACGUGUAUGCUUACUGUUUCUAAUUAGUUAUAUGUUUCCAGAAUUAUUAAUAUUUUUACUCUUAGUAGUAAAGCAUAUGCAAUUAGAGCCAUUAAAUAAUAUCAAAUGUUUCUUUAGGGUUUUGAGAUGCUUGAAUAUGUCUGGAUCUAUCCCUAAAAAAAUUUGGGAAAUCAGCAACCUGCAUGUACUGUAAGCAUAAACUUUAUUGAUCUCUUUAGAUCAGGUACAUUCAUUGCUUUUUAUAUAUUCUGUUUCUAACUUUGUAUCGUUUACUGAUUAGAGAAAUUUAAGGACCGUGCAGAGUCACAUUAAAUCUAGGAGAACAUAGACUAACCAAAGAAUACUUGAAAUUUCCAUGGUAAUGAAUAACCCCAUGAUUGUCACAUGUUUCGCUUUAAUACAGGAGAUAGAAAACUUUCAUGUUAGCCAAAAAUAGUAUGAUAAGUUGUAUGGUAGUUGACUGCUGGUUUCUACAUUUUAGAUAUAACCAUAAGGGAUGACCCAUACGAAAGAAAGUUUUUUAUAUGCAGAUGGUUUUUGCAUUCUAAAAGGGACACAAAGUUACUUGGGCAUGGAAAUUCUCUGUCUAAAAGUAUGUCCAUGCAUUGUUUUUGAGUAUUUGCCACAUCAUUGUUGGCUUUAUGUAGAUGUGGAAUAACCAUGAUCAAUAAAUUGUAAAGAAAGCAAUAUGGUUGUUGCUGAUGCAAGGAAUGGUCAUUUGCAUAUUUGCACAUGGAGGCGCAAAUGAAGAAGCUGAAAUGUUAACUUAAGAACCGAUUUAGUGAUGGUAACUAGAAGAGAUAUGGUUUGGAUGCAUAUCAUCCUUAUGAGUGAGAUAUGGUUUGGAUGCAUAUCAUCCUUAUUGAGUUUUAAUGGUAUUUUGCAAGUUUGAUUUCUUUAGCUAAGAGUUUAUAGGACUACCAGGGAGAGUGUUUCCUGUAACUCUAGGAUUUGAGUAUGUAUUUAUGUCCAUAUGCUUUUCUGUACUAUGUUCUGCUUUUUGCACUUAAAGUUUGCUACUAUUUCUAGGAUGCUUAAUGAUGUAAGGUUUCUUUUGACAACAUAUUUUGACUAUAUGUUCAUUUUCCUACUAUUUUUAUACAGUGAUUUGACCUUUAACAAGUUGGAAGGAGAAAUCAGUAGCACAGAAGUACACCCAGAUUUCAUUUAG
Molecule: long non-coding RNA, 2099 nt
Organism: Pistacia vera
Lineage: Eukaryota; Viridiplantae; Streptophyta; Magnoliopsida; Sapindales; Anacardiaceae
Exons: 8
Source: RefSeq, a predicted model, not a curated record